GACAAAGCAACUAGCAGGCAUCGAACCAUCCAAGCAUCCAAAAAAUCCAAACAUCAGACAACAUGAGAAGAUAAUAGAAAGUAACCAAAGGAACUUUUAGAGGACCAUAUUUCCUCUGCUAUUUCUCAGCCACCGUCGCUAGGGUUUCGAAGGUUGACGGCGGCGUUCACCUUUUCUUCUUCUUCUCUGCAAAAAAGAAUAAUAAGGAUAGAAAGCCCUUGAGGGAGUUGUGGGAUCUGCAGGAUUGCGAGAUCGGUGAGAUGUGAUAGGAAUGGCCCAAGAUCUCCGACGAUAUUUGCGGCCGAUUUUGUGGGAUUUGAAGGCACGGACAUUGGCAUUUGCGAGAUCAGGAGAUCAAUGAAUGUACG
This 368-nucleotide long non-coding RNA is filed under the name Ananas comosus (pineapple). RNAcentral describes it as "long non-coding RNA (ACOM_LNC031313)". Lineage: Eukaryota; Viridiplantae; Streptophyta; Magnoliopsida; Poales; Bromeliaceae. The record is from RNAcentral.